ACUUCUCAACCCCGCCUUUUGUAAUGAGAGGUAGCCUGGGCUUGAAUCAUGGUCUUUUGCCGUUUAUUCGGCUAGACUGAAAUGCAGUAAGCUGCAUGCACGAUUGUAACGGCUUGACCUGAUGUUGUAGUAUCUAUAAACUCAUCGGGGAUCGUUAUUGACAGUUGCAAAGAGCUUUAAACUUUGAAUUUUAAUAGUACA
This 201-nucleotide unclassified non-coding RNA is filed under the name uncultured Kondoa. Its description in RNAcentral is "partial internal transcribed spacer 2". Lineage: Eukaryota; Fungi; Basidiomycota; Agaricostilbomycetes. The record is from RNAcentral.